AAAACUUUCAACAACGGAUCUCUUGGUUCCGGCAUCGAUGAAGAACGCAGCGAAAUGCGAUACGUAAUGUGAAUUGCAAAUUCAGUGAAUCAUCGAGUCUUUGAACGCACAUUGCGCCCCCUGGUAUUCCGGGGGGCAUGCCUGUCCGAGCGUCAUUGCUGCCCUCAAGCCCGGCUUGUGUGUUGGGCCCCGUCCUCCG
Molecule: ribosomal RNA, 199 nt
Filed under: Penicillium sp. IB35H1
Lineage: Eukaryota; Fungi; Ascomycota; Eurotiomycetes; Eurotiales; Aspergillaceae
Also listed under: 1 other name
Description: 5.8S ribosomal RNA
Rfam family: 5.8S ribosomal RNA (bases 3-155)
About the family: 5.8S ribosomal RNA (5.8S rRNA) is a component of the large subunit of the eukaryotic ribosome.
Source: RNAcentral